UACGUUGACUUUGUGCAGUGA
RNAcentral lists this non-coding RNA (21 nucleotides) under Caenorhabditis elegans. Lineage: Eukaryota; Metazoa; Nematoda; Chromadorea; Rhabditida; Rhabditidae. The record is from RNAcentral.